GAGUUUGAUCUUGGCUCAGAUUGAACGCUGGCGGCAUGCCUUACACAUGCAAGUCGAACGGCAGCAUGAUCUAGCUUGCUAGAUUGAUGGCGAGUGGCGAACGGGUGAGUAAUACAUCGGAACGUGCCCUGUAGUGGGGGAUAACUAGUCGAAAGAUUAGCUAAUACCGCAUACGACCUGAGGGUGAAAGUGGGGGACCGCAAGGCCUCAUGCUAUAGGAGCGGCCGAUGUCUGAUUAGCUAGUUGGUGGGGUAAAGGCCCACCAAGGCGACGAUCAGUAGCUGGUCUGAGAGGACGAUCAGCCACACUGGGACUGAGACACGGCCCAGACUCCUACGGGAGGCAGCAGUGGGGAAUUUUGGACAAUGGGCGAAAGCCUGAUCCAGCAAUGCCGCGUGUGUGAAGAAGGCCUCGGUUGUAA
Molecule: ribosomal RNA, 421 nt
Filed under: uncultured microorganism
Description: bacterial SSU rRNA
Rfam family: Bacterial small subunit ribosomal RNA
Source: RNAcentral